UGGCGCGCAGUCUGCAGUCGACGCUUUGUGGUUCAACUGAUUUGAAGAGCUUGCUCAGAUAUGACGAUGGACAUUGCAAAGAGUGGCGAACGGGUGAGUAACACGUGGGAAACCUACCUCUUAGCAGGGGAUAACAUUUGGAAACAGAUGCUAAUACCGUAUAACAAUGACAACCGCAUGGUUGUUAUUUAAAAGAUGGUUCUGCUAUCACUAAGAGAUGGUCCCGCGGUGCAUUAGCUAGUUGGUAAGGUAAUGGCUUACCAAGGCGAUGAUGCAUAGCCGAGUUGAGAGACUGAUCGGCCACAAUGGGACUGAGACACGGCCCAUACUCCUACGGGAGGCAGCAGUAGGGAAUCUUCCACAAUGGGCGAAAGCCUGAUGGAGCAACGCCGCGUGUGUGAUGAAGGGUUUCGGCUCGUAAAACMCUGUUGUAAGAGAAGAAUGMCAUUGAGAGUAMCUGUUCAAUGUGUGACGGUAUCUUACCAGAAAGGAACGGCUAAAUACGUGCCAGCAGCCGCGGUAAUACGUAUGUUCCAAGCGUUAUCCGGAUUUAUUGGGCGUAAAGCGAGCGCAGACGGUUAUUUAAGUCUGAAGUGAAAGCCCUCAGCUCAACCUGAGGAAUUGCUUUGGAAACUGGAUGACUUGAGUGCAGUAGAGGAAAGUGGAACUCCAUGUGUAGCGGUGAAAUGCGUAGAUAUAUGGAAGAACACCAGUGGCGAAGGCGGCUUUCUGGACUGUAACUGACGUUGAGGCUCGAAAGUGUGGGUAGCAAACAGGAUUAGAUACCCUGGUAGUCCACACCGUAAACGAUGAGUGCUAGGUGUUUGAGGGUUUCCGCCCUUAAGUGCCGCAGCUAACGCAUUAAGCACUCCGCCUGGGGAGUACGACCCGCAAGGUUGAAACUCAAAGGAAUUGACGGGGACCCGCACAAGCGGUGGAGCAUGUGGUUUAAUUCGAAAGCAACGCGAAGAACCUUACCAGGUCUUGACAUCCCUUGACAACUCCAGARAUGGAGCGUUCCCUUCGGGGACAAGGUGACAGGUGGUGCAUGGUUGUCGUCAGCUCGUGUCGUGAGAUGUUGGGUUAAGUCCCGCAACGAGCGCAACCCUUAUUACUAGUUGCCAGCAUUCAGUUGGGCACUCUAGUGAGACUGCCGGUGACAAACCGGAGGAAGGUGGGGAUGACGUCAAAUCAUCAUGCCCCUUAUGACCUGGGCUACACACGUGCUACAAUGGCGUAUACAACGAGUUGCCAACCCGCGAGGGUGAGCUAAUCUCUUAAAGUACGUCUCAGUUCGGAUUGUAGGCUGCAACUCGCCUACAUGAAGUCGGAAUCGCUAGUAAUCGCGGAUCAGCACGCCGCGGUGAAUACGUUCCCGGGUCUUGUACACACCGCCCGUCACACCAUGAGAGUUUGUAACACCCAAAGCCGGUGGGGUAACCUUCGGGAGCCACCGUCUAACGUAUAA
RNAcentral lists this ribosomal RNA (1468 nucleotides) under Weissella confusa. RNAcentral describes it as "bacterial SSU rRNA". The record is from RNAcentral. Lineage: Bacteria; Bacillati; Bacillota; Bacilli; Lactobacillales; Lactobacillaceae.